Molecule: transfer RNA, 76 nt
Filed under: Actinomycetes bacterium
Lineage: Bacteria; Bacillati; Actinomycetota; Actinomycetes
Also listed under: 1 other name
Description: Actinobacteria bacterium tRNA-Met
Rfam family: tRNA
About the family: Transfer RNA (tRNA) molecules are approximately 80 nucleotides in length. Their secondary structure includes four short double-helical elements and three loops (D, anti-codon, and T loops).
Source: RNAcentral
GGGGCCGUAGCUCAGUGGUUAGAGCAGGGGACUCAUAAUCCCUCGGUCGAAGGUUCGAUCCCUUCCGGCCCCACCG